CUCACUCUCUCACAGAGUCAAAAUCGGUAAAAUGGCAAACAUUGCAGGGUGUGUGGGUGUGGAGGCGUGCCUACAGUCAAACAUCAUGUUUUUCAGCGAUCGUGAAUCGCAGAGCCCAAUCCUUCUUUGUCUCUAAGUUGAAGAAUGGAUCGUGAAUCGCAUAGACUAUUUUCACAGAGGACUUGUAAACAAUGGGCACUUUGAAUUGGAACCAGAGAAUGAAAGAAGAUUAGAGCUAAACUUCACAAAGACAUUCCCUCAUGUUGUAUGGACUGGAAGGGAAGAGAUAGAUACCUCCAUAGAAGUAGCUUUGUUUGAUUCUCUUACUGGACAAGUUGUUAACUCUGGCUCUGAAGCCUCAGCAAUUGUGCAAAUAGUAGUUGUUGAGAGCGAGUUUAAUGGAAAAAAUUGGACAAAAGAAGAAUUCAAUAGUAAGAUUGUUAAACUAAGGGAAAAAAAUAGCUGUUCUUGCUGGAGAUUUUCGUGUGAAUCUUGAAAGAGGGAUUGGUGUUCUAGGUUAUGUUUGAAUUCAGGCUAGGUGCAAGAAUCGUUGAUGAUGAUGGUUCUCAUGGAAUUAGAGUUAGAGAAGCAAUCACGGAACCUUUCACUAUCAAGGAUAAACGUUUAAAAGAUCCUUCGGUAGAGUAGAUCUGGACGGCGGAGCAAAUCUGGUCAACGGAGAUGGCAAAUCGAAGAUGACGGAGCAAAUCUAGUUGGUGGAGAUGGAGAUUGGAGAUGCAGAUCUGGUCGGCGGAGCAGAUCUGUAGUCUGUGAUCGAACCAAAGGUGUCAGAGCAGUGGUGGCAGAGGAGGAUAUCGAAGAUGACUGUGGCAACGGAUGGUCUUCUAGAUCUCCGCUGCAGUGGCGGAGCCAUGUCGGCGACGGAUGACAGCAACAGUGAGGUGGUGGGCAGCGAGGUCGGAAAGCUAAGAGAGGAGAAGAGAGUUUUUUUAUUUUUAUGGAAUGUGUUUGUGUAUCAUAUAUAUAUAUAUAGAGAGAAAGGGAGAGAGAGUAUUUUGGUCGUUUUACUUGAACUUAUCCUUUUAGACAAAGUGUUUUAGAGCUUGGAUUUCUGGCCAAACAAAAUUAUAAUUUGCACUUUUGGACUGAGUGCCCUAAAGUAUAAGAGUAUAUUACUGUAGCAUUUUUUUUUUUAAAGGAGAAGAAAUGACAAUAAUUUGUGG
Molecule: long non-coding RNA, 1184 nt
Organism: Camellia sinensis
Lineage: Eukaryota; Viridiplantae; Streptophyta; Magnoliopsida; Ericales; Theaceae
Source: RefSeq, a predicted model, not a curated record